This 334-nucleotide ribosomal RNA is filed under the name uncultured eukaryote. RNAcentral describes it as "partial 18S ribosomal RNA". It matches the Rfam family "Eukaryotic small subunit ribosomal RNA", at positions 1470 to 1796 of the family's 1831-position model. The record is from RNAcentral.
CCCUUAGAUGUCCGGGGCCGCACGCGCGCUACACUGAAGGAAUCAGCGUGGAUUCCUCCCUGGCCCGAAAGGGCUGGGAAACCCGUUGAAUCUCCUUCGUGCUAGGGAUUGGGGCUUGUAAUUGUUCCCCAUGAACGAGGAAUUCCCAGUAAGCGCGAGUCAUAAGCUCGCGUUGAUUACGUCCCUGCCCUUUGUACACACCGCCCGUCGCUACUAUCGAUUGAGCGGUUCAGUGAGGGCCUCGGAUUGGUCUCGGUCUGGCGUGCAAGCGCCGGCACCGAUGGUCGAGAAGACGCUCGAACUUGAUCGUUUAGAGGAAGUAAAAGUCGUAACA